GGUAGCUGUAUUGACUAUUGAAUCAGUGAACAAUUAAUGUAUCACCGAAUGGGAUUGGAAGGUACGAACAGCGACUCUCGAUCAACAACUAUAACAUCAAAGAUUUCCUUAUAUUUGAAGUACUAGCAACUGAAUUUAAACAAAUAGAUCAAAUUUCAAUCCUAAUUAUGCAGUUCAAGCAUUACAGUCCACGAUUCAAUAUGAUUUCAAUAAAUUAAAACUAAACAGAUCAAAACUCGAGCAGGCAAGCUGAGCACAGAUAAAAAUGGCUUCAUUUCACUCAAAUUUGAAGUUACAAGGGUGUGGAUUUCAACUGUGUACCUGGAGAUUGCAAAACAAGAUGGAAAGUGAGGUUAGCACAGCGACGGGCAAGCAGCAGCAGAUUUGAACACCCAACAAAACUCAAACUCAACACAAAUUUACACACAGCCAAUCCUAGGAUCCAAUUUUGAAUUAUUUUCAAACCCAGACCACCUCAUAAACUUCAGAACUCGAAAAAUUGCAGAAAUCCAAACAGGAGAGCAAUGGAACAUGAAAACUUCAACCAAGCUGGACCCAAAGCAUUUCUAACACACGAUCAAACCAUUUUUAACUAUAAAGAUUCUGAAAUUGUCCAGUAAUCUACUAAACAGCUUGAAUACAACCAAAAUGACUCGAAAUUGAACUCAAGAACAACCAGAAAACUUCCACAACCAAAACCGGUGAGUUAAGGUUUUGGGGUCGAGAUUUGAUUUAAGAUUCAACGAGUUCCAGUGAUAUUCGUGGAAAACCAAUGGUGGAAAAGGCAUGAGGACUACAAGAUGAAGCUUUGGUGUGAUUUUGGUGAGAGUUGGAGCUUUUCUGUGGUGACAAUGGCGGAACUAGGGUUGGGUGAUGGAGAAGAUGAAGAGUAC
This 893-nucleotide long non-coding RNA is filed under the name Nicotiana benthamiana. RNAcentral's name for it is "long non-coding RNA (NBEN_LNC025715)". The record is from RNAcentral. Lineage: Eukaryota; Viridiplantae; Streptophyta; Magnoliopsida; Solanales; Solanaceae.